Molecule: small nucleolar RNA, 206 nt
Filed under: Castor canadensis (American beaver)
Lineage: Eukaryota; Metazoa; Chordata; Mammalia; Rodentia; Castoridae
Description: Small nucleolar RNA U3 (ENSCCNG00000001814.1)
Rfam family: Small nucleolar RNA U3
About the family: Small nucleolar RNAs (snoRNAs) are involved in the processing and modification of rRNA in the nucleolus. There are two main classes of snoRNAs: the box C/D class, and the box H/ACA class.
Source: Rfam by way of RNAcentral
AAGACUAUGUCUUCAGGGAUCAUUUCUAUACUUUGUCUCUAGAGAAGUAUCUCUGAUCAUGUGGAGUUCUGGAAACCAUUAGGAGGAUAUAUACUGAGUAUGAAGCCAGCUCCUGGUGGUGCUUUCUUGGAACUUCCAUUAGCCAUUGAUGAUCAUUUUUUUUUUCCUUUGGAUGAGUAAGAGGUUGAGGAUAUUGUCUGAGUGGU